This 588-nucleotide ribosomal RNA is filed under the name uncultured bacterium. Its description in RNAcentral is "bacterial SSU rRNA". It matches the Rfam family "Bacterial small subunit ribosomal RNA", at positions 338 to 916 of the family's 1533-position model. The record is from RNAcentral.
CCUACGGGAGGCAGCAGUGAGGAAUCUUGCGCAAUGGGCGAAAGCCUGACGCAGCGACGCCGCGUGGAGGAUGAAGGUCUUCGGAUUGUAAACUCCUGUCGAGUGGGACGAAUGCCGUGAGGGUGAACAGCCCUCGCGGUUGACGGUACCGCUGGAGGAAGCCCCGGCUAACUCCGUGCCAGCAGCCGCGGUAAUACGGAGGGUGCAAGCGUUGUUCGGAAUUACUGGGCGUAAAGCGCGUGUAGGCGGCCUUGUAAGCCAGACGUGAAAGCCCCCGGCUUAACCGGGGAAGUGCGUCUGGAACUGCUUGGCUUGAGUACGGGAGAGGGAGGCGGAAUUCCCAGUGUAGAGGUGAAAUUCGUAGAUAUUGGGAGGAACACCGGUGGCGAAAGCGGCCUCCUGGACCGAUACUGACGCUAAGACGCGAAAGCGUGGGGAGCAAACAGGAUUAGAUACCCUGGUAGUCCACGCGGUAAACGAUGGGCACUAGGUGUGGGGGGUAUCCACUCCUCCCGUGCCGUAGCUAACGCAUUAAGUGCCCCGCCUGGGGAGUACGGCCGCAAGGUUAAAACUCAAAGGAAUUGACGG